RNAcentral lists this ribosomal RNA (819 nucleotides) under Perna perna. RNAcentral describes it as "small subunit ribosomal RNA". The record is from RNAcentral. Lineage: Eukaryota; Metazoa; Mollusca; Bivalvia; Mytilida; Mytilidae.
AGUAAUUCCGAAAACGCUUUGUCUCGGCAAUGAUGUCUAGGAAGUAGAAAGCCUGAAGUGAGGUAGAAUUUUACUGAGAACUUAACUUGGGUUCUACCAGUUUUCUGGUGGAGAUCCCUUGGGGGCUAGUUUAAGUCUGUUUUUCAGGCUUGGGUUAGUCCUAAUUCCUGCCUGCGCUCAAAUCCAUGGGCGUGGCCCGAUUGGCUUGAACUUCAUUGGAGUUAAUCGAACCUUGUUCUGGGUUCUAGCAUAAAAGGUGAUGAUAGAAACACUGCUGAAACUUUACUUACGCUGUUUGUCACUAGGGUUGACCUGCAGCCUCUGCGUGCUGAAGAUUAGUGUUUUUAUCCUACCCCACCCUUUAGGGGGUGGGCAUGCAAGUCGUCAUUUAUAGCUAUUAUCUAUGUUCUUGUGUUGACUAGAUUCUCCUUUGGUUGUUCAGAUUGCACCCGAAAAACCUCUGUCCUGAGUAAGGGUCACCGAUACUGGUGAAAUCCGAAUGUUCCAUCCAUCCAGGUUGGGUAACAUUUUUUGGUCACCUUUUAUUCGGAAAACUAAGGCAUUAUUGUUUUGAUGAUUUUUCGGGUACCGAUGGAAAAUCGACAAAUUUCACAAUUUUUUUUUUCCUAAGCAAUCCAGGCCUUUUUUGAUCGAUUUUAAAAAUCACCCCAAAAAGGAUCGGGUUCCAAAAUUUUUCUGUUAGCAGGGAUUCCAGAAUAACGUCCGAUGGACGGAGCUAGCGGAAUACCCCCGACUCUCUCCGUUACUAAUCAUACUUUAUACUAAAAUUAUCAACAAAAGUUUUGAAAAGUAAUUUUG